UUGAGGGCCAAAAGGAGUGAAGUCCUCCCCUAGAGUCCAGCACAAAGGCAUCAGCUGGGGAUGCUUGCUCCCACCCUGCCACCCCAAUAUGGUUCAACCUUGGUUUCAGGGGAGUUCAGUCUCCAUGGCCUGUUCAUUCCUUGGCCUCU
RNAcentral lists this small RNA (149 nucleotides) under Gopherus agassizii (Agassiz's desert tortoise). Its description in RNAcentral is "TUC338 (ENSGAGG00000009963.1)". Lineage: Eukaryota; Metazoa; Chordata; Testudines; Testudinidae. The record is from RNAcentral.